Molecule: long non-coding RNA, 2296 nt
Organism: Rosa chinensis
Lineage: Eukaryota; Viridiplantae; Streptophyta; Magnoliopsida; Rosales; Rosaceae
Exons: 5
Source: RefSeq, a predicted model, not a curated record
CACAUCCUCUUCAAGACUUCAAAAACCCCUUCGCUUGUUACUCCUCUCUCUCUCCCGUUCACAAAAUCACAACCCAUCUUUCUUAGCCAACAAUGAAACCUUCCAACCUCCUAAACCCUCAGACCCUUAAACCCCAAAAUCUCAGACCCAUUUUCCUCACAAGUCACAACCCAAUCCCCAUCUCUCUCUUUACUCACCCAACCCAACACAAUCCCCAUCGGCGUUGUUUUGGACUUGCUGGUGAGUGCUUGCCGUGAAUUGAAGAGGGCUGGUGACGCUUUUGUGAGUGCGUUAAAUUGAUGACGAGUGACAAUGUUAUGCCUAGGACUAAGACUUGUAAUGAAUUGUUGAGUUUGUUUUUGAAAUUGAAUCGAACCGAGAGGGCUUGGGUUUUGUAUGCUGUCCAGUGUUUGUAUUUUUAACAUCAUGAUUGAUUAAUGUGUUGUGUAAAGAAGGCAAGCUGAACAAGGCAAAGUAGUUUCUUGGGUUUAUGGAGAUUUUGGGGAUUAAGCCUACUGUUGUUACCUAUAAUACUAUCAUUCAUGGGCUUUGUCUGAGAGGCAGAGUUGGAGGGGCUCAGAUGAUUUUUGGUGCUAUGAGAGGUAGGGGAGUUCAGCCGGAUUCUUACACAUAUGGAUUGCUUAUUGGUGGGAUGUGUAAGGAAAGAAGACUUGAUGAAGCGUCUGGUUUUUUUGAUAAAAUGCUGGAAAUUGGGCUGCUUCCAUGUGCUGUUACUUGUUUCACAUUGAUUGAUGGUUAUUGCAAUAAGGGUGAUCUGGACAGGGCUUUCGGUUAUAGAGAUGAGAUGGUGAACAAGGGAAACUUAUACAUCGCUUAUUUAUGUUUUUGAGUAAAAGGAAGAGAAUGAAUGACGCAGAUGACUUGUUUGAAAAGUUACCGUGUAAGGGUGUUCUGCCGGAUCUUGUGAUGUUCAAUACCUUGAUUGAUGGUCAUUUGUAAUUCACUUUUCAAAAUUUGGAUGCAGUGGUUAUUUAUACGCGUUUAUAAUUCGCUUUUCUUUGCUUCUGUUUCUAAUAGUUGGAUCUAAAGAGAAAUGAGAUGAGGUGCAUAUAUGGGAAAACAGUAUGCUUUGAGAGGCAAUCAAACUUCUAAGUUGUCGUUGUAAAACCUCAGGCACUGCAAUAGAAAAGAGAAGAAGGCGAAUCAGUUUCAUCUCCAAUUUCACAGAACAAUCCUCAUUGAACAAAAUCAGGAGUAGGUUUCCUUCAUCUGCAUAUACAUGAUUACCUCCUAUGUUUAACAUACAGAGUUUCUUGAACUAAGUGGGCACUAAUUACAGAUUUACAGUUAUCAUGAUUUGACUGUAAAAACUCAAGAGGAAGCUAAUGAAGUCAGGAUCAGUAAAAUGCCAAAUGGUCUUCAUAAUUGUUGUAUUCAUAAUUGAAAAAAAAAAAUAUAUAUAUAUAUAUAUUUUUGGGUAUUCUUAGGUUGUUUACUGUAGUAUCAUCAUAUUUGUUUGCUGCAGUUUAUUUUCAACAAUCCUAUGAGUACUUUACGGGCCUGAAAAAUCUUUGCUGAAAUCGUAUUUUUGUUUCAUGUCAUUAUCUAAUUCAAUGGUUGAAGGAAAUGAAUUCCAAUCUCGCAUCUUUAAUUACUGAUAAAACUAGAUUGCCUAAAAUUUUUGCUUCUAUAUUCAUAGGAUCCCUACAAUCUUUCUGAACAUUUCAUCUUUUCCGCAAAUUUUCCUAUAUGAAUGAUAUAAAUUGCUUUGCUUUUCUUUUGUCUUUGGAGCAAACACACCUUUAUAGCUUAUGACUUCAUAAUUAAUUAAAUGACAUUUUCAGGUUAUUAAUAGCCUUAUUCCAGGUCUUCAGAAUGCUUUCUUGAUUGUACUGCUUCUGGAGAGAGCACUUGAAGAAUGUGGUGAUGAUUUGGAUUCAGCUAUCAGAAGUUUGAAUGAGCUACGCUUAAGUUCUGCUGCAAAUAAAUCUGGUGCAGCAUCAGAAGCAAGUCGGCAACCCCAUGCACAAGGGCAAGCACUACCCUGGAACUCUGUUGAUUGCUCUUGCUGGAAGGGUUGUCUUUUUGAAGCAUCUUUCUUCUGGCUUGCUUUUGGUCACUGUUUAGUUGAGUUUUUCUUAACUGAGAGAGAGAUUGUUUUUACUUUUCGUUACCAAGUAGUGCCUUUUGAUCAAUGUACAUGUAGUUUGUUAUGUUUAGUGUGUUUGUGCUGCAGAUUUUAGAAUAUGUAAAACGAUGUGUAAUGUAUUUAAUAUUUGUAAAUGCAGUAUUUCUAAGCUAAACCAUAUUGACAAGCAGCAUCGCGCGGGCCUUA